CAUUAAUUUGAUAUUGCAUCCAGCGGCUUCUUCAGAUUCCAAUUGCGCCAUUUCUUAUCAAGGUUAACCAUCGUCUCACAAGGCCACUUAUCGCGCAUGUACACUACUACAUCUUGGGUUUCGCCAAAAAAAGGAUAGAAAGUUUGUGUUUUCGUUCAGACGUUUGGCUAACGUUCAAUAUUUAUACUGUGUUUAUCGUUCCACUCGAUUCCAUAUCCCAACUAAGUCAGAAAACAAAAGGACACAACGCGAACGCGGGUACCAUGGGACGACGAAUUAUCAACUCAGGUUUCUGGCCGCGUUCCAUCGCGGCAACAAAUAAGGACCACCAUUUCGUGAGUGUAUCCACACCGAAAUGCUGCUUAUGGCCGCCUGUCCUUUUUCUGCGGGAUACGCAACACGUGACUGACCGUUCACAAGCUUAUAACACUACAUAUCUCUGUGGACAAGGUCAAUCCGAGAGAUGCACGUCUGCGUCUGUCAAUAUCAAAGAGAACUUUUUCCGAGAUAAGACAAUUUGGCGUCUUUUCAUUUCUCGCUUUCUAUAAGCUAUUAAUGUGUUUGAUGAACUGACUUGAUCCUUUUAGCGAGCUGCCACGUGACCGUUGUUUUGACGUAAGCAAAUAGAAGAAGAAGAAGAAGCGGCGCGAUAUCGGAUAUUAGGGCGUUCACCGGAUGCUCGACGCAGAUCCUGGAGCGAAAUUGGAUGGAUCUGUUGGGCUGUUGAAAUUGGAAGGUACUGGAAGCACGACCGCCUGGGCUGAACUGUAGGACGAUGGAGUGGCC
Molecule: long non-coding RNA, 786 nt
Organism: Daphnia pulicaria
Lineage: Eukaryota; Metazoa; Arthropoda; Branchiopoda; Diplostraca; Daphniidae
Exons: 3
Source: RefSeq, a predicted model, not a curated record